UGGCUCUCGCAUCGAUGAAGAACGCAGCGAAAUGCGAUAAGUAAUGUGAAUUGCAGAAUUCAGUGAAUCAUCGAAUCUUUGAACGCACCUUGCGCCCCUUGGUAUUCCGAGGGGCAUGCCUGUUUGAGUGUCAUGUUCUUCUCAAUCUCUUCACCUUUGGGUGAAGGGCUUGGAUUUGGAGGCUUGCUGGUACUUUGUAUGUUGGCUCCUCUUAAAUACAUUAGCUGGACUUGUAGUUCGCGUUGUUUGGUGUAAUAGUCUUAUAUAUUCACUACAGUGCUUGCUCUAAUGGUCUGCUUCUAAUGGUCCCUUGUGGACAGGUUACUUUGUAACCUUUUUGACCCCUUUGACCUCAAAUCAGGUAGGACUACCCGCUGA
Molecule: unclassified non-coding RNA, 378 nt
Filed under: uncultured fungus
Lineage: Eukaryota; Fungi
Description: partial contains 5.8S ribosomal RNA and internal transcribed spacer 2
Rfam family: 5.8S ribosomal RNA (bases 1-133)
Source: RNAcentral